UACUGUUGGAAUUUGCUUCAGGCCUCUGUU
Molecule: non-coding RNA, 30 nt
Filed under: Mus musculus (house mouse)
Lineage: Eukaryota; Metazoa; Chordata; Mammalia; Rodentia; Muridae
Source: RNAcentral